UUUAUUCAGUCCCCAGUAAAGCAGAUAAAUGGCAUGCCAGAUGGAAUUUGUGUGAUAAAAUUCCUGAAGGUUCUGUAUCUCAUGAUAGGUUUCCCUUCAAGAUUUUACAACCACUCCUUACACUCCAUAGUACUUUAUUGUUUACCGAGGAAGCUGCCAGCCUCCCUCCCACUGUACAUUUCCUUUCUUACUCACAGAACCUUAAUUUUGUUCAGGGAGGCAAUAUGCUUAUCUAAAAAUAUUGCCCAAUCUUCUUUGUAGUUAGAAAUGAUCACAUGAGAAAGAAAAUCUAAGUGGAAGUCUGCUGGGGACAUCUGCCUUUUCCAAAUAUCACAUUUUGUCCUUCUUUCCUUUCUCUCUCCCUUCCCUUUCUUUCCUCCUCCUCUCUCUACCGUCCUUUCUCCUUCUUCGUGUGUCUGAAUGGUCCAAAAAAUUGGGUAUGGAAGUUUUCAGAAAGAUGGAGGAACCAGGGCUAAUGAUAUCCUGAGGUCAUCACACCAGCCAUGAAACACAGGUUUUCAGAAUAAAGGUCAUGAGGGGAAACACACAGCUACUUACUGUUGCUACCAGCUUCCUGUUAGAGUCAGAAACAAUCUUAAUGAACUCACCUGUUACUUUCACUAAUGAUAUUUUAUUUGAUCAUUUGCGACUUGCAUUCAUGAGGUGGAAGUGUUGCUAUGAGUCUUCUUUUAGGGAUAUGGGGAUUCUAAGGGGCUAUUCUAGCUCAGAAUGCAGAGUACUUCAGUUUGGAUUUCCAAAGAGGUUCUCUUUCUACUAGCCAGCGGUUCUCAAGUGGUUGUGGGACUGCACCUGAAGUCAAUCUGGUUGAGGGAGCAGACUAUGGAAGGGGAACCUCUGACAUUUUCCCCACCCUGUGAUUAUAAAAUCCUCCUGGGUUUUAAUUGGGCUAGGAAGGCAGUGCCAAAUCUUUGUCCUGUUCCUGACAGUCUUUUGUAAUGGAAGUUUGUUCUGGUCUAAUGCUUUUCUUGAGAAAUACUGAGAUAAAUUAAGCCAAAUAAAACUGCACACGUAUUGACUCAGAACCAG
RNAcentral lists this long non-coding RNA (1047 nucleotides) under Rattus norvegicus (Norway rat). RNAcentral describes it as "long non-coding RNA NONRATT028874". Lineage: Eukaryota; Metazoa; Chordata; Mammalia; Rodentia; Muridae. The record is from RNAcentral.